CGGGGAGUGGCGUAGUUGGCUAACGCACGUGCUUUGGGAGCACGAGAUCGCGGGUUCGAGUCCCGCCUCCCCGACCA
RNAcentral lists this transfer RNA (77 nucleotides) under Pseudomonadota bacterium. RNAcentral's name for it is "tRNA-Pro". It matches the Rfam family "tRNA". Rfam says of the family: Transfer RNA (tRNA) molecules are approximately 80 nucleotides in length. Lineage: Bacteria; Pseudomonadati; Pseudomonadota. The record is from RNAcentral. RNAcentral also lists the same sequence under 3 other names.